This is a long non-coding RNA of Oncorhynchus nerka (sockeye salmon), 2443 nucleotides long. RefSeq lists it as uncharacterized. The transcript is spliced from 2 exons. The record is from RefSeq and is a predicted model, not a curated record. NCBI's taxonomy places the organism in Eukaryota, Metazoa, Chordata, Actinopteri, Salmoniformes, Salmonidae.
UGUAGUUACAACAGGUUGUAGUUACAACAGGUUGUUACAACGGGUAGUAGUAACAACAGGUAGUAGUUACAACAGGUUGUUACAACAGGUAGUAGUAACAACAGGUAGUAGUUACAACAGGUUGUUACAACAGGUAGUAGUAACAACAGGUAGUAGUUACAACAGGUAGUUACAACAGGUUGUUACAACAGGUUGUAGUUACAACAGGUUGUAGUUACAGCAGGUUGUUACAAUAGGUAGUAGUUACAACAGGUUGUUACAACAGGUAGUAGUAGCAACAGGUAGUAGUUACAACAGGUUGUUACAACAGGUUGUAGUUACAACAGGUUGUAGUUACAACAAGUCGUUACAACAGGUAGUAGUUACAACAGGUUGUUACAACAGGUUGUAGUUACAGCAGGUUGUAGUUAAAACAGGUUGUUACAACAGGUUGUAGUUACAGCAGGUUGUAGUUACAACAGGUUGUUACAACAGGUAGUAGUAACAACAGGUAGUAUUUACAACAGGUUGUUACAACAGGUUGUAGUAGCAACAGGUAGUAGUUACAACAGGCUGUUACAACAGGUUGUAGUUACAGCAGGUUGUAGUUACAACAGGUAGUAGUUACAACAAGUCCUUACAACAGGUAGUAGUUACAACAGGUUGUAGUUACAGCAGGUUGUAGUUACAACAAGUCAUUACAACAGGUAGUAGUUACAACAGGUUGUUACAAUAGGUAGUAGUUACAACAGGUUGUUACAACAGGUAGUAGUAACAACAGGUAGUAGUUACAACAGGUUGUUACAACAGGUUGUAGUGACAACAGGUUGUAGUUACAGCAGGUUGUAGUUACAACAAGUCGUUAAAACAGGGUGUAGUUACAGUAGGUUGUAGUUAUAGCAGGUUGUAGUUACAACAAGUCGUUAAAACAGGGUGUAGUUAAAGCAGGUUGUAGUUACAACAAGUCGUUAAAACAGGGUGUAGUUACAGUAGGUUGUAGUUAUAGCAGGUUGUAGUUAGAACAAGUCGUUAAAACAGGGUGUAGUUAAAGCAGGUUGUAGUUACAACAAGUCGUUAAAACAGGGUGUAGUUACAGUAGGUUGUAGUUACAACAGGUUGUAGUUACAACAGGUUGUAGUUACAGUAGGUUGUAGUUACAACAGGUUGUAGUUACAACAGGUUGUAGUUACAACAGGUUGUUACAACAGGUUGUAGUUACAGCAGGUUGUAGUUACAACAGGUUGUUACAACAGGUUGUAGUUACAGCAGGUUGUAGUUACAACAGGUUGUUACAACAGGUAGUAGUAACAACAGGUAGUAUUUACAACAGGUUGUUACAACAGGUUGUAGUAGCAACAGGUAGUAGUUACAACAGGCUGUUACAACAGGUUGUAGUUACAACAGGUUGUAGUUACAGCAGGUUGUAGUUACAACAAGUCGUUAAAACAGGGUGUAGUUACAGUAGGUUGUAGUUAUAGCAGGUUGUAGUUAGAACAAGUCGUUAAAACAGGGUGUAGUUAAAGCAGGUUGUAGUUACAACAAGUCGUUAAAACAGGGUGUAGUUACAGUAGGUUGUAGUUACAACAGGUUGUAGUUACAGUAGGUUGUAGUUAUAGCAGGUUGUAGUUACAACAGGUUGUAGUUACAACAGGUUGUAGUUACAACAGGUAGUAGUAACAAUAGGUAGUAGUUACAACAGGUAGUAGUUACAACAGGUUGAUAGACAAGUAGGCCUAGUCACAACACACAUUCAUCAAACUAAAUGUAAAUAGGUACAUUGUUGUUGUGUGCGAGAAGGAAUUUGAAAUCCAUUUAAUAAAUUGUUGUAUUUUAAUGUUGUGCUACUGUACAGCCUUUUGCACUGUCUUGUCCUGCAGAGCAGAGGCCAUGAGUUCAUGUCUCAUGUAUUUGUAAUGGGUUUAGGAGAGGAGACUUCAAUGCAUGUACCCAUACCGCAAAUUAAAAAAGCACAGUGUAGCCAAGCUAAGGACUCUGGAAGAAUAUUUAAUUAAGUGCCUGAAAAACUUCUCUCAUAUUUUCUGUUUCUCAUUUUAACCAAAUCAUUUCACAUUCAGAGUUGUUUUCUGGACAUGAAUGAAAAAAGCACUGCGUUUCACAGUCAAAGGUUUCUGUGUUUUGGAUUCCUUUCAUGUCCAGCAUAGUGUAUACCGAACCAACACAAAGGAGACAUGAACUCUGUAUGGGUUGUCUUUGAAAGAGCUGAUCGAAAUUAAAUGGACGUUGAUAUCCUAGUUUCCCACCAUCUAAAUAAAGAAGCAAAAACAUGAAAGUAGCAUAAAACAGAGAGAAUGUGGUUAUUGUCUUCUCUGCCUGUCCAUUUUCUUUUUCGAGACGGACAAAACAUUGUCUGAUGCUUUGUGAUAAAACUGAAGACCAAGCACUGAUACAACCAUCCACACGUUGUAAAGGCAUGUCAUAAAAGGAAAUAAAGGAAAUAUGGACA